Molecule: ribosomal RNA, 1235 nt
Filed under: metagenome
Description: bacterial SSU rRNA
Rfam family: Bacterial small subunit ribosomal RNA
Source: RNAcentral
ACGAUGGUUAGCUGGUCUGAGAGGAUGAUCAGCCACACUGGAACUGACACACGGUCCAGACUCCUACGGGAGGCAGCAGUGAGGAAUUUUGCGCAAUGGGGGAAACCCUGACGCAGCAACGCCGCGUGAGUGAUGAAGGCUUUCGGGUCGUAAAGCUCUGUCAAGUGGGAAGAAACCACGAGGUGAUAAUAUCGCUUUGUGCUGACGGUACCACUGAAGGAAGCACCGGCUAACUCCGUGCCAGCAGCCGCGGUAAUACGGGGGGUGCAAGCGUUAUUCGGAAUCAUUGGGCGUAAAGGGCGCGUAGGCGGUUUGUUAAGUCAGAUGUGAAAGCCCGGGGCUCAACCCCGGAAGUGCAUUUGAUACUGGCGGACUUGAGUAUGGGAGAGGGAAGUGGAAUUCCUGGUGUAGAGGUGAAAUUCGUAGAUAUCAGGAGGAACACCGGUGGCGAAGGCGACUUCCUGGACCAAUACUGACGCUGAGGCGCGAAGGCGUGGGUAGCAAACAGGAUUAGAUACCCUGGUAGUCCACGCAGUAAACGGUGAUCACUAGGUGUAGCGGGUAUUGACCCCUGCUGUGCCGCAGUUAACGCAUUAAGUGAUCCGCCUGGGGAGUACGGCCGCAAGGUUAAAACUCAAAGGAAUUGACGGGGGCCCGCACAAGCGGUGGAGCAUGUGGUUUAAUUCGACGCAACGCGAAGAACCUUACCUGGGUUUGACAUCUCGGGGAUUUUUUGGAAACAAGAAAGUGCCCUUCGGGGAGCCCGAAGACAGGUGCUGCAUGGCUGUCGUCAGCUCGUGUCGUGAGAUGUUGGGUUAAGUCCCGCAACGAGCGCAACCCUUAUCUUUAGUUACCAUCACUUCGGGUGGGGACUCUAAAGAUACUGCCCCGGUCAACGGGGAGGAAGGUGGGGAUGACGUCAAGUCCUCAUGGCCUUUAUGCCCAGGGCUACACACGUGCUACAAUGGGCGAUACAAAGGGUAGCGAGCCUGCGAAGGUGAGCCAAUCCCAAAAAGUCGUUCUUAGUUCGGAUUGGAGUCUGCAACUCGACUCCAUGAAGCUGGAAUCGCUAGUAAUCGCGGAUCAGCACGCCGCGGUGAAUACGUUCCCGGGCCUUGUACACACCGCCCGUCACACCAUGAGAGUUGGUUGUACCAGAAGUUGUUGGGCUAACCCGCAAGGGAGGCAGGCACCUAAGGUAUGGCUGAUGAUUGGGGUGAAGUCGUAACAAGGUA